GAUGAACGCUGGCGGCGUGCCUAAUACAUGCAAGUCGAGCGAACGGACGAGAAGCUUGCUUCUCUGAUGUUAGCGGCGGACGGGUGAGUAACACGUGGAUAACCUACCUAUAAGACUGGGAUAACUUCGGGAAACCGUAGCUAAUACCGGAUAAUAUUUUGAACCGCAUGGUUCAAUAGUGAAAGACGGUCUUGCUGUCACUUAUAGAUGGAUCCGCGCUGCAUUAGCUAGUUGGUAAGGUAACGGCUUACCAAGGCAACGAUGCAUAGCCGACCUGAGAGGGUGAUCGGCCACACUGGAACUGAGACACGGUCCAGACUCCUACGGGAGGCAGCAGUAGGGAAUCUUCCGCAAUGGGCGAAAGCCUGACGGAGCAACGCCGCGUGAGUGAUGAAGGUCUUCGGAUCGUAAAACUCUGUUAUUAGGGAAGAACAUAUGUGUAAGUAACUAUGCACAUCUUGACGGUACCUAAUCAGAAAGCCACGGCUAACUACGUG
This 497-nucleotide ribosomal RNA is filed under the name uncultured bacterium. RNAcentral describes it as "partial 16S ribosomal RNA". It matches the Rfam family "Bacterial small subunit ribosomal RNA", at positions 28 to 507 of the family's 1533-position model. The record is from RNAcentral.